This 469-nucleotide ribosomal RNA is filed under the name uncultured organism. Its description in RNAcentral is "partial 16S ribosomal RNA". It matches the Rfam family "Bacterial small subunit ribosomal RNA", at positions 335 to 796 of the family's 1533-position model. The record is from RNAcentral.
ACUCCUGCGGGAGGCAGCAGUGGGGAAUAUUGCACAAUGGGCGCAAGCCUGAUGCAGCCAUGCCGCGUGUAUGAAGAAGGCCUUCGGGUUGUAAAGUACUUUCAGCGGGGAGGAAGGCGAUAAGGUUAAUAACCUUGUCGAUUGACGUUACCCGCAGAAGAAGCACCGGCUAACUCCGUGCCAGCAGCCGCGGUAAUACGGAGGGUGCAAGCGUUAAUCGGAAUUACUGGGCGUAAAGCGCACGCAGGCGGUCUGUCAAGUCGGAUGUGAAAUCCCCGGGCUCAACCUGGGAACUGCAUUCGAAACUGGCAGGCUAGAGUCUUGUAGAGGGGGGUAGAAUUCCAGGUGUAGCGGUGAAAUGCGUAGAGAUCUGGAGGAAUACCGGUGGCGAAGGCGGCCCCCUGGACAAAGACUGACGCUCAGGUGCGAAAGCGUGGGGAGCAAACAGGAUUAGAAACCCGAGUAGUCC